This 121-nucleotide non-coding RNA is filed under the name Polytomella parva. Lineage: Eukaryota; Viridiplantae; Chlorophyta; Chlorophyceae; Chlamydomonadales; Chlamydomonadaceae. The record is from RNAcentral.
GGAAUGAGAGGGAGAGGCAAAGAGGUCAAAAGAGGGAGAAGCAAGGAAAGGUGCUAUCCCAUGAUGUGUCAUUAUCACUAUGAUUAUUUUUAUUGUAUUAAUUUUCUUAUUCUUCUUAUUA